GGUGGAGUGCUGGAUCUUGGGCUGUGUCCCCCGGUGCUGCAGGCUCCGGCCUGCACUGCUGGAAUCGCGCUCCCAGAGCUGCACAGUUCCCU
This 92-nucleotide microRNA precursor is filed under the name Canis lupus familiaris (dog). Its description in RNAcentral is "mir-8799 microRNA precursor family". It matches the Rfam family "mir-8799 microRNA precursor family". RNAcentral also lists the same sequence under 1 other name. Lineage: Eukaryota; Metazoa; Chordata; Mammalia; Carnivora; Canidae. The record is from Rfam by way of RNAcentral.